GACGAACGCUGGCGGCGUGCCUAACACAUGCAAGUCGAGCGUAAGUUUUUAAAGAAGAUUUCUUCGGAAUGAAACUUUAAUUAUCUUAGCGGCGGACGGGUGAGUAACGCGUGAGAAACCUGCCUUUUACAAAGGGAUAGCCUCGGGGAACUGGGAUUAAUACCUUAUGACACUUAAAUGUCGCAUGAUAAUUAAGUUAAAGAAUUUCGGUGAAAGAUGGUCUCGCGUCUGAUUAGCUAGUUGGUAAGGUAACGGCUUACCAAGGCGACGAUCAGUAGCCGGAUUGAGAGGUUGAACGGCCACACUGGAACUGAGACACGGUCCAG
RNAcentral lists this ribosomal RNA (326 nucleotides) under uncultured bacterium. Its description in RNAcentral is "bacterial SSU rRNA". It matches the Rfam family "Bacterial small subunit ribosomal RNA", at positions 28 to 334 of the family's 1533-position model. The record is from RNAcentral.